UUAACUCAAAUUUGUAUGGAGAUAAAACGUUUGGCUACGUUUUCCGCUAGGGGCAUUAUAUCAACUGCAUACAAAUUUGAGUUA
RNAcentral lists this microRNA precursor (84 nucleotides) under Bombyx mori (domestic silkworm). RNAcentral describes it as "mir-2807 microRNA precursor family". It matches the Rfam family "mir-2807 microRNA precursor family". Lineage: Eukaryota; Metazoa; Arthropoda; Insecta; Lepidoptera; Bombycidae. The record is from Rfam by way of RNAcentral.